CCUUGGAUCACAUGAUGCCUUCAGAGGAACACAGACAGACCAAAGACACAUAAAGUCGGCUGGAGCCAGCAGUUUCCAUCCACGCUGAGGGAGCCAGCAGUGAGAUAUUUUUCAACUCCCAUCUUGGACCCAUUCGCUGGCACCACACUCAACGAUUGGCAGCUGUGGCUCCUCUUGGGUCCUACGCCAUGGACCAAGAUGUGGGGGCCGCUAAGCCAUUGCCAGGCCCAGCGAUCGGAGCUGUCGGCUUCCUCCUUCAGUCAAGAACAAGCAGGCCGCUGAGUCAGGUCUACAGAACCGCACAUAAUUCAUCUUAGGAAAUGCAUAUGUGUUGUCAUAUCAUAGGUACUUUUUAUGCGGUGGCAGAAAAUUGCUUUCCUUUUUUGCCUGGCUCUCCCGUCUCCCUCUCUUCCUCCCUACGCUCAUAGUGAUCACAGCAUGCCCCAAACACCCUUGUCAUCACUUCCCGGGACAAGAAACAGAACGGGUUGGGGCCACCCCAGAUGCCCCUUGGGUCCCAUCCCUCCUCAGCCUUUAUCCUGCCUUUCCAUAUGGCCCCUACCCCUGGGUAACCAAAUCAUAGAUGCAGGAAAGCAUCUUUUUUAGUAAAGGGUUCCAAUGAACACAUUUAAAAAAAGAAAUGGUAGGUAACAGGGUGUCUGUUUGGGACGGUACAAAACUUCUGGAAACCCAGAGAGGUGAUGGUUGUACAACAUUGUGCAUGCACUUAAUGGUGCUGAAUAGUACACUUAAAACGGUUAAUUUUAUCUAUGUAUAUUUUAGCACUUCCAGUAGUAAAAAAACAAACAGUAGAAUUAGAGUAUCACUGUCUUGGAGCUCAGAAAUGAAUCCUGUCCCACCUCAACCCUACCCUUCCCUUAAUGCAAAUACUCCCCGAUUUUACCCUGAUCACUUUCUUACUUUUUCAAAGACCUUUAUCAGCCAAAUGGUAUCUUCAGACGUAAGAGUUCAGUGCUGUCUUUUUAAAAAAUGUGAUCGGUCUUCUAAGUCCACAAGGCUCCCCUCAAUUCCUUUCCUCACUUUCAUCUGUUAAAGAAUUCACAUCAUUUGGCCUGUUUCUUAUGGCCUGGAUUUUGUACGGUUCAUGUUCUUCUGGCCUCUGUGUUUCCUGCUAGAUUCCAAAGAUUUCCUGCCAGAUUCGGGGGCUUAAUAAGAGUCAGUUCCUUUGGCAAGACCACAGUGGGGUGGAAUUCUCUCAUCAGGAGGCCCAUAUUGUCUGGCUUCUGCUCUUUUAAAAUUUUUAUAUUUUUGAUAUCCUCAAAUAACGUAUCGAAUCUUACCUCACUGCUUUGCCAUUGUCUAUUAUCGUGUGAAAGUCCCCCUGAGGCUUUGGAGCAAGGCGUGCUCUAGAAUGGUUUGUCUGACUUCACCGAGUUCCCACUUCUGGUAUUUCUGGGUAGGAUUCAAAUACAUGGUAACUUCCUCUCUG
Neofelis nebulosa (Clouded leopard) is the source of this 1450-nucleotide long non-coding RNA. RefSeq lists it as uncharacterized. The record is from RefSeq and is a predicted model, not a curated record. The transcript has 3 exons. Lineage: Eukaryota; Metazoa; Chordata; Mammalia; Carnivora; Felidae.